CCUACGGGAGGCUGCAGUGGGGGAUAUUGCACAAUGGGGGAAACCCUGAUGCAGCGAAGCCGCGUGGGUGAAGAAGCGCCUCGGCGCGUAAAGCCCUGUCAGCAGGGAAGAAAAUGACGGUACCUGAAGAAGAAGCCCCGGCUAACUACGUGCCAGACGCCGCGGUAAUACGUAGGGGGCAAGCGUUAUCCGGAUUUACUGGGUGUAAAGGGGGCGCAGACGGCGAUGCAAGCCAGGAGUGAAAGCCCGGGGCCCAACCCCGGGACUGCUGUUGGAACUGCGUGGCUAGAGUGCAGGAGGGGCAGGCGGAAUGCCGGGUGUAGCGGUGAAAUGCGUAGAUAUCAGGAGGAACACCGGUGGCGAAGGCGGCCUGCUGGACUGCAACUGACGUUGAGGCUCGAAAGCGUGGGGAGCAAACAGGAUUAGAUACCCUGGUAGUC
Molecule: ribosomal RNA, 440 nt
Filed under: uncultured bacterium
Lineage: Bacteria
Description: partial 16S ribosomal RNA
Rfam family: Bacterial small subunit ribosomal RNA
Source: RNAcentral